Lutzomyia longipalpis is the source of this 85-nucleotide non-coding RNA. Lineage: Eukaryota; Metazoa; Arthropoda; Insecta; Diptera; Psychodidae. The record is from Rfam.
UCCUCAUGUUGCUGGGAUACCCUCUGUGAUCGCUCUGUACUUGAGUAGUGAACACAGCUGGUGGUAUCUCAGUGACUGAGUGUGG